Long non-coding RNA from Ostrea edulis (European flat oyster), 2360 nucleotides. RefSeq lists it as uncharacterized. The transcript has 2 exons. The record is from RefSeq and is a predicted model, not a curated record. NCBI's taxonomy places the organism in Eukaryota, Metazoa, Mollusca, Bivalvia, Ostreida, Ostreidae.
UCCUGCCAUCUAUUAGUGUCUGCAUGCAUCAUUUUCCUGUAUGUCGGCCAAGACACUCAACAUAUUGACAGCACUUCAUAGCUCAGAGGCCCCGGUUCAUAACUUUAUUUUGUUCAGUACUUUAUCAAUUUUAAAUCUAAAUUGAGAUGUAAAUUUCAGACCAUAAACUUAUCUAGAGACUAUCUAGAUUUCUGAAUUCGCAAAUGGUGUUGAAAAUGAUGAAAGGUUAGUGCGAUGAAACAAAGCGAAUUCCCCAUCAGUCCCCAUUAAUUCUCUAAACACUCUAACCUGUUUCAAACACUAGUAAGUAGACACAUCAGUACUGUGUAAAGAAAUAAGAUAAAACCGUUAUGUGUGAUUGGAAGUAAGUAGGAGAGGAUCCGGUGACCUAGAAAUAUUGGCAUCACGCCCAAUACCGUGGCUACAUGUUGAAAAGGGGGACUUUUAAGAGUAAAUCCGCCAGAAAAUCAUACAAAAUACCAAAAAUCGUCCAAAAGGGCUGUCACAAGGCAAGAUUUCUUUGUUGCUUAUUUUCUUCAUACGUGUUGAAAUCAGAAUGUCGUCAAAAAAUUUUCCAACUCCACAUCUAUUUUUAGUAACAUUUCAUUUGCAUAUUAGUAAGAAUUCAUAAUGAAUUUAUGAGGAAUAUAUUCACAAUUUCGUUGAUUCUGGAAUACGUUAUUAUAAUUCUUUUUCUUCAAAAUCUAUAUUUGCUAUAAAGAUAUGUUAUCAACUGUUUUUGAAGAAAAAGGCAUUAUUUACACUUUUAAUAUCUCAUUUGAUUUUUAAAUGUCAAGCUCAAUGAUAUGCUUUAAUGAUGUUUAGUAGUCUAUUUUGACGUAAGUGUAAAAAAGAAUUAUUUCUCAGCCUGCUCUUGGAAAAUUUAACCCUUGCAAUAGGGCCACACAGUCUCGCUUCCGGUGGAGAACUUCCGGAGAAAAGCACACAUUUCUCAGUAUAACAAUAGACUAUGAAUUGGCUCAUUUGAGUUAAAAGAAACAAUCAUAACUUUGUAUUCGUGUUUGCGUGUUGUCAACUUGGUUUACGGCGAACAUGUAAGGUGUCCAGGAUCCUAUCUACUCCCGGGCUAGCGAAAAACGGGGGGGAUGCAGAGAUGACUGAAAACAACAGAAGCAAUAGCUGUUUAAGGACGGUGUGAAGGAUAAAGACCCCCCUCUUCACCAUUUAACAGCUGUUCCAUAUCUUCGCCUUUCAUGUAGUUGUGUAUUGUUAACCCUCCCCUUUUCUUCCGCCACAAAGGCAUUACUGGUAUAUAUAGAUGAAAACUGAUGACAAGCUUAAUAAUAAUAUGAACUGGUCUAUUAGACUCUCAUCGAGUUUAUACAUGAAAAUACAAUAUACAUGUGGUCUGUAAAAUUUAUGUAUACAUGUAUAUGCAUUCAUAAAUAUUUUUCUUAAAAUUUUCAGGUAACGGUAGAAUCUCAUGUUUUAUAUCAUUUGCACUUUUUCAAUUCUGAAACCUUGUGUAAAACUUGUUUCAUACCAGAAUCCAAAGCAUCAGUAGCGUGACCUAAAUGAAUCUAAAACACAGGUCAGAUUUAUGAUUAUGAAGAAUACCUUUUGACUGAGUGGUGUCACAUGUGGGUUUUGGAUAUUGUAAAUGUCACAUUUAAGAAUUAGGGCAAAAUUUUAAAUGUAUGACAAAACGCUAAAAUUGCUAAAUUAAUUCACAUGUAGGUAUUUUCCCUAAGACCCCUACCUACGAAACUAAACUUGAUGAAUGUUGAUUCAAAUAAUUCUAUAAAGCAAUACAAUUAUUGAUACAUGUAGCUCUGUGAUUAACUUUUAUUCAAUAUCAAUAAUUAGAUACCAUCAAAGUAUAUCCCUUCUAGAAAACACACCUUUUCAUGCAUUGAUUUAUGUUUUUAACCCAUCAAGUAUCAGAAUGUAGAUUUUUAGCAGACAUCAAUCAAUCUUUUAAUCUCAAAAUCCAUUUGUUGUGCAGAUCCAAAAAAAUAUGCUUGAAUCUAACAAUGGAAGGGAUAUGUAAUUCUUCAUUUCCAUAUACAUGUAUUUAACUGAAUUCUGCAGUUUUAUUUACACAAUGCAUUUAUUAUUUCCUUGUACAUUAUACUUCCUUGCUAUUUACAGUGAUUUUUUUAAUUUCCGUUUAUUUGAAGAUAAUGGGGUUACUGCUUGGUGGUUUAUUGGAUUGUGAAAAGUGACACUGGAUCAACGAAUUACCAGAGCAAUCCAUUCCAGGGUAGAUUAUGAAAGCUGAUUUGCUCUUGUUGAUUUUAACACUACAAAAUAUUUCUUGUUAGUAAAAUAUUGAAGUAUUAUCCUUCAUGAUAUACAAAUGUAGAUUAAGGAUUAAAAUAUAAUAAAAGUCUUCACCA